CAGUGCGCAUGCGCGGAAUGGGGGCGGGACUCGGCCGCCGCCUAGAAGGCUUCGGUGUUUGCAGCCAUGCUGGUGCUGGUGGUUCCGCCGUGGCCUGCAGCCCGGGCGCUUCUCCGGAGCUGUUGGCAGCGACUGCAGUGGAAACUUCAGCAGAGCCGGCCAGGCUUUCCCAGCCCUCCGUGGGAACCAGCAUUAGCGGUCCAAGGUCCGGCUAUAUUUACAGAAUCAGCAAAUGAUACGAAUGGAAGUAAGGAGAUUUCCAGCCUUUUGGAUAGUAUCUUUUGGAUGGCAGCACCCAAAAAGAGACGCAGCAUUGAAGUUAACCGGUGUAGGAGAAGAAACCCUCAGAAGCUUAUUAAAGUUAAGCACAACAUAGACGUUUGUCCUGAAUGUGGUCACCUGAAACAGAAACAUGUCCUUUGUGGCUAUUGCUAUGAGAAUGUGCGCAAGGAGACUGCAGAAAUCAGAAAAGAGAUGGGGAAACAAGAAGGGGGCCCUUUUAAGGCUCCUACCAUAGAGACCGUGGUGCUGUACAGGGGAGAGACACCAUCUGAACAAGAUCAGGGCAAGAGGAUCAUUGAACGAGAAAAGAAGCGACCAUCCUGGUUCACCCAGAAUUGACACCAGAGAUGUUUAAAAAGGGUAACUUAACGUAAAACAUUUCUCCUGGAAAAGAAGAAGUUUUUUUAUUUUUUAUUUUUGUGUCUUAAAAUCAUCAAUAUAGCUUAAAACAUUCUUCAUAAGAUGUUUUGUGUGGGUAAUUUGAAGACUAUAUCGGGAAUAAAAUCAAAAUGUUUGUGCAGAGGCUCUGGAUUUAUAUGUUUGUUUCUAUUAUAAGGUUUUAAGUAAAGACAAAACAAUAAAAUAAUUUACAAUUCAUACCAAGA
Molecule: RNA transcript, 887 nt
Organism: Myotis brandtii (Brandt's bat)
Lineage: Eukaryota; Metazoa; Chordata; Mammalia; Chiroptera; Vespertilionidae
Gene: MRPL32
Gene name: mitochondrial ribosomal protein L32
Exons: 4
Source: RefSeq, a predicted model, not a curated record